ACGGCUCAGUAACACGUGGAUAACCUACCCUCAGAUCUGGGAUAACUCCGGGAAACUGGAGAUAAUACCGGAUAAUCCGUGAACGCUGGAAUGCCUCACGGUUGAAAGCUUUAGCGUCUGAGGAUGGGGCUGCGGCCGAUCAGGCCGUUGGCGAGGUAACGGCUCACCAAACCUUUGACCGGUACGGGCCAUGAGAGUGGUAGCCCGGAGAUGGACACUGAGAUAGGGGUCCAGGCCCUACGGGGCGCAGCAGGCGCGAAAACUCCACACUGUACGUAAGUACGAUGGGGUUACCUCGAGUGUAGUCUGUAAAAGAUUGCUUUUCCAUAGAGUAAUAUCCUGUGGGAAUAAGAGGGGGGCAAGACUGGUGUCAGCCGCCGCGGUAACACCAGCCCCUCGAGUGGUAGGGACUUUUAUUUGGCCUAAAGCGUUCGUAGCCGUCUGUAACCGCUGCCCGUUAAAUCCAGCGUCUCAAGCGUUGGACUGCGGGCGAUACCUUACAGAUUGAGGGUGGGAUAGGGUAAGCGGUAUUUCUGGGGGUAGGGGCGAAAUCCUUUGAUCCCAGGAGGACCACCAGUGGCGAAGGCUGCUUACUAGAACACGCCUGACGGUCAGGAACGAAAGCUGGGGUAGCGAACCGGAUUAGAUACCCGGGUAGUCCCAGCUGUAAACGAUGCGCGCUAGGUGUUGGGUCGGCCAUGCGCCGCCCCAGUGCCGCAGGGAAGCCGUUAAGCGCGCCGCCUGGGGAGUACGGCCACAAGGCUGAAACUUAAAGGAAUUGGCGGGGGAGCAC
This 793-nucleotide ribosomal RNA is filed under the name uncultured archaeon. RNAcentral's name for it is "bacterial SSU rRNA". It matches the Rfam family "Archaeal small subunit ribosomal RNA", at positions 85 to 879 of the family's 1478-position model. The record is from RNAcentral.